GACAGAGGGUGCAAACGUUGCUCGGAAUUACUGGGCGUAAAGCGCGUGUAGGCGGGCUGGAAAGUCGGGCGUGAAAUCCCCAGGCUCAACCUGGGAACUGCACUCGAAACUCCCAGUCUAGAGUGGUGGAGAGGGAAGUGGAAUUCCUGGUGUAGAGGUGAAAUUCGUAGAUAUUGGGAAGAACACCGAUGGCGAAGGCAGCCAUCUGGACCGACACUGACGCUGAGGCGCGAAAGCGUGGGGAGCAAACAGG
This 253-nucleotide ribosomal RNA is filed under the name uncultured bacterium. RNAcentral's name for it is "partial 16S ribosomal RNA". It matches the Rfam family "Bacterial small subunit ribosomal RNA", at positions 524 to 776 of the family's 1533-position model. The record is from RNAcentral.